AGUGAACGCUGGCGGUAGGCCUAACACAUGCAAGUCGAACGGCAGCACAGUAAGAGCUUGCUCUUACGGGUGGCGAGUGGCGGACGGGUGAGGAAUACACCGGAAUCUACUUUUUCGUGGGGGAUAACGUAGGGAAACUUACGCUAAUACCGCAUACGACCUACGGGUGAAAGCAGGGGAUCUUCGGACCUUGCGCGAUUGAAUGAGCCGAUGUCGGAUUAGCUAGUUGGCGGGGUAAAGGCCUACCAAGGCGACGAUCCGUAGCUGGUCUGAGAGGAUGAUCAGGCACACUGGAACUGAGACACGGCCCAGACUCCUACGGGAGGCAGCAGUGGGGAAUAUUGGACAAUGGGCGAAAGCCUGAUCCAGCCAUACCGCGUGGGUGAAGAAGGCCUUCGGGUUGUAAAGCCCUUUUGUUGGGAAAGAAAAGCAGCAGGUUAAUACCCCGCUGUUCUGACGGUACCCAAAGAAUAAGCACCGGCUAACUUCGUG
RNAcentral lists this ribosomal RNA (492 nucleotides) under uncultured bacterium. RNAcentral's name for it is "partial 16S ribosomal RNA". It matches the Rfam family "Bacterial small subunit ribosomal RNA", at positions 29 to 507 of the family's 1533-position model. The record is from RNAcentral.